GUUCCUGUAGUUGAAUGACAAUGGUGGUUUUUCAGGCCAUUGGUUUCGGUGUAAAUCCGAGUUGGAACG
RNAcentral lists this transfer RNA (69 nucleotides) under Elseya novaeguineae (New Guinea snapping turtle). RNAcentral describes it as "tRNA-Glu". It matches the Rfam family "tRNA". Rfam says of the family: Transfer RNA (tRNA) molecules are approximately 80 nucleotides in length. Their secondary structure includes four short double-helical elements and three loops (D, anti-codon, and T loops). Further hydrogen bonds mediate the characteristic L-shaped molecular structure. tRNAs have two regions of fundamental functional importance: the anti-codon, which is responsible for specific mRNA codon recognition, and the 3' end, to which the tRNAs corresponding amino acid is attached (by aminoacyl-tRNA synthetases). tRNAs cope with the degeneracy of the genetic code in two manners: having more than one tRNA (with a specific anti-codon) for a particular amino acid; and 'wobble' base-pairing, i.e. permitting non-standard base-pairing at the 3rd anti-codon position. RNAcentral also lists the same sequence under 1 other name. The record is from RNAcentral. Lineage: Eukaryota; Metazoa; Chordata; Testudines; Chelidae.